This 596-nucleotide long non-coding RNA is filed under the name Manihot esculenta (cassava). Its description in RNAcentral is "long non-coding RNA (MESC_LNC006987)". The record is from RNAcentral. Lineage: Eukaryota; Viridiplantae; Streptophyta; Magnoliopsida; Malpighiales; Euphorbiaceae.
UUAGAUCAGCUCGAGAAAAAGCAGGACAGAGCUCAGUUGGUUAAAAUUAUAAGGCGAGCAAUCUAAAGUAUUUCACACAUGAUAAAGGAAGAACAGCUUAAGCAUGAGAGCAGAACAAGAACUUCAUUAAAAGAAAAGUACAUUACAGCACGUUACAAAGGCCUACACUACGGGAUGAAAGACUAUCCUUAAAGGAUUUACAUAUCCAGAUAUUUCAUCAUCUACGAUUAUCACCUACCCUACUAUUCUAGUCUUCAGCUCGGAGGACUUCUCGUAGCUCGGAAUGUGAGUUUUUCAGAAAAGGCCAAGAUCUGUCCCGCUAUUAUAGGGGAACUGAACAAGUUGAUUCCCAUAAGCAUUUCUCACUGUCCCCCUGGGCAAACGUUCGAUUACCCGAAUGUGAUACACGGUACAUUCGAACAAGCUCAGAUAUUGUAUGCCGGCCGUGCACCACACAUGAAAAACAUAAGUCUUCGGGCUAUGGCCCCGAAGAGAUCGCGAAGUACACAUUCGAAGAAAUCGCUGGAGACCUGACUGAGUGCAGCAGAUCCCAGUCUCACAUAAUACUGGUACUUCACACCAAAGGGAAUAAUAAU